RNAcentral lists this long non-coding RNA (1035 nucleotides) under Ursus maritimus (polar bear). RNAcentral's name for it is "lncRNA (ENSUMAG00000017641.1)". Lineage: Eukaryota; Metazoa; Chordata; Mammalia; Carnivora; Ursidae. The record is from RNAcentral.
CUCAAUUCACCCUAAUUUUAGCCCUACCUGCAGCACCUUAUCUGGCAUAGCAGUUAUUUAUUUAUGUCUUGUAAAGCUUAUGCGAACAGAGGCCAUGUCAACUCAUCCUAAACUAAUUACAGGACCUUGCAAUAGUUGUUGAACAAACGCGUCCUGGAUAGGAGAAAGGUGCACAAAAGGUCUGAUGUUAGUUGUCAAACACAGGCCUUCAUACAUCACGCCACCACAACCCUCACAACUCUCUACCCGGACUGCAGCAGAGCCCACCUGCAUUUUCCUCCCAGAGCACCAGCCCUUCCAUUAAAAGACUGCAGGAGCCACUGAUGGAAACGCCCGCACGUGAGAGUACAACCUCAAGAGCGGGAACCGGAAGUCUCCGCGUAUGACGUCACUGGGAAGCUCGGUUCCAUGAAGCCAGUAGUGCCAGACGGCGCCGGGGGCACAGGUUCUCCUGGGCCUGGAGGCGCGAGGUCGCUAAAAGAGGGCCGGGAAGUUAGCUCCGAAAUGGCGGCUGUCAGGUUAGGGAAGCCAGGCCGCUCAGGCCUGAUCGUCUUUCCCCGCCCACUUGGGUCGGUGCACACUUCCGCCUCGGGGCCCCGCACCCUGCAGUCUCGCUCCGGCUUCCCAGCAUGCCCCACGCUGUCUCCCUGGCAACGGUGCCCAACAGCAGGGCCGGGAGGUCCCGGAGCUCGGCGGUGCGGCUGCACCUACGUGAGAGCUGCCCAACAUACGUCCCAAUUACGGGUGGGACUGUGGGCGCCGCCGCUCCUCCGCCCUCGACNNNNNNNNNNNNNNNNNNNNNNNNNNNNNNNNCCUAAAGGUAUGCGAAAGGCGAAGGGCGCUCCUCGGGGCUCGCCGGGAAGGUGGUGGCUUCAGGCUGCCCCAGCCGGAAUCCGCAUCCGUGGGCCCGCGACCUCUUCACUUCCCUCAGCUCCUUUCCUCCCGGAUUUGCUCCAGGCUCCGGAGAAUCAGUGUUGCCGGCGUCUCCUCCCGCUCUGCGAAAAUGGAAGAGAACUACUUGACUUCAACCUGUGA